This 104-nucleotide ribosomal RNA is filed under the name Chelonoidis abingdonii (Abingdon island giant tortoise). The record is from RNAcentral. Lineage: Eukaryota; Metazoa; Chordata; Testudines; Testudinidae.
UAAGUCUACCCUACCCUGAACGCUGCUGUGUUAUCUGAACUCAAAAGCUAAGCAGGUCAGGUGGUAGUACUUGGAUGGGAGACUACAGGAUGCUGUAGGCUUGG